GACGAACGCUGGCGGCGUGCUUAACACAUGCAAGUCGAACGGAAAGGCCCUGCUUUUGUGGGGUGCUCGAGUGGCGAACGGGUGAGUAACACGUGAGUAACCUGCCCUUGACUUUGGGAUAACUUCAGGAAACUGGGGCUAAUACCGGAUAGGAGCUCCUGCUGCAUGGUGGGGGUUGGAAAGUUUCGGCGGUUGGGGAUGGACUCGCGGCUUAUCAGCUUGUUGGUGGGGUAGUGGCUUACCAAGGCUUUGACGGGUAGCCGGCCUGAGAGGGUGACCGGCCACAUUGGGACUGAGAUACGGCCCAGACUCAUACGGGAGGCAGCAGUGGGGAAUAUUGCACAAUGGGAGGAAGCCUGAUGCAGCGACGCCGCGUGCGGGAUGACGGCCUUCGGGUAGUAAACCGCUUUCGCCUGUGACGAAGCGUGAGUGACGGUAAUGGGUAAAGAAGCACCGGCUAACUACGUG
RNAcentral lists this ribosomal RNA (468 nucleotides) under uncultured bacterium. RNAcentral's name for it is "partial 16S ribosomal RNA". It matches the Rfam family "Bacterial small subunit ribosomal RNA", at positions 28 to 507 of the family's 1533-position model. The record is from RNAcentral.